GAGUUUGAUCCUGGCUCAGGAUGAACGCUGGCGGCGUGCUUAACACAUGCAAGUCGAACGGGCUCAUAUUGAAACCUAGUGAUGUAUGAGUUAGUGGCGGACGGGUGAGUAACGCGUGGAGAACCUGCCGUAUACUGGGGGAUAACACUUAGAAAUAGGUGCUAAUACCGCAUAAGCGCACAGCUUCGCAUGAAGCAGUGUGAAAAACUCCGGUGGUAUACGAUGGAUCCGCGUCUGAUUAGCUGGUUGGCGGGGUAACAGCCCACCAAGGCGACGAUCAGUAGCCGGCCUGAGAGGGUGAACGGCCACAUUGGGACUGAGACACGGCCCAAACUCCUACGGGAGGCAGCAGUGGGGAAUAUUGCACAAUGGGGGAAACCCUGAUGCAGCGACGCCGCGUGAGUGAAGAAGUAUUUCGGUAUGUAAAGCUCUAUCAGCAGGGAAGAAAAUGACGGUACCUGACUAAGAAGCCCCGGCUAACUACGUGCCAGCAGCCGCGGUAAUACGUAGGGGGCAAGCGUUAUCCGGAUUUACUGGGUGUAAAGGGAGCGUAGACGGCAGCGCAAGUCUGAAGUGAAAUCCCAUGGCUUAACCAUGGAACUGCUUUGGAAACUGUGCAGCUGGAGUGCAGGAGAGGUAAGCGGAAUUCCUAGUGUAGCGGUGAAAUGC
This 669-nucleotide ribosomal RNA is filed under the name uncultured bacterium. RNAcentral's name for it is "bacterial SSU rRNA". It matches the Rfam family "Bacterial small subunit ribosomal RNA", at positions 9 to 689 of the family's 1533-position model. The record is from RNAcentral.